RNAcentral lists this unclassified non-coding RNA (23 nucleotides) under Ancylostoma caninum (dog hookworm). Lineage: Eukaryota; Metazoa; Nematoda; Chromadorea; Rhabditida; Ancylostomatidae. The record is from RNAcentral.
GGGUUUAAUUACCCAAGUUUGAG